CCCUAUUCUAUGCUGCAGAUCACUCAGCCUAACUGGGACUACUCAGCAAACACCAAGUGAGCAGCUUUGACCCUAUUUCCACCUCAGCUGUCUUCCAUCAGGCUGAUUUUUUCUGCCUAAACUCCAUACUGCUCACAGGUUUUGUUUCAAAAAUACAGAAGCUGCUUCUGACCUAAUUGAUCAAAACUGCUUUUCUUCAGGAAACUGCAAAAUAUCUUCUUUUCAAGGCAAAUGAAUUUGGAGACUGGUGAGAGAGAGAAAGGGUGGCUGUGGUAGAGGAAAUAUUUUUAUCCAGGCCUCAGGAAAUGGUGGUCUGGCUGCAGUGGUGCGGAUGGUUACAUGAAGAGAAUUCGAGCAGGGCAAAGCCUGCCAUCACUUAAUGUCUGUCCCCAAACUCCUGCACUGCAAGAACUAAUGUUAAUAUCCACCUGGAAAUAACCAGCAAGGAAGCUGCUACCCUAAAACAACCCUUCAAGCUCAAGUGAGGUUUCAGGGACCACACAGGCUGCUCCCCAAAUUGCAACAAAGGUGUGGGAUUUUCUUUUCCUCAAACUGCAGCUAUUGUUAUCUACCCUAUUAUUAAGAAGUUUAAGAAAUGUAACAUCAAUGACUUCCUUUUCAUCUUUGUGGAGUGGAGCAUUUGACAGUAAGUUAAAAUCCUAAAUAAAAUAUGAAAGCUGCCAGCACAUGCCAAAAGUCUCUCGGAGAGCAUAUAUGAAAAGUUGCUCCUAAGACGCAAAUGCCACUAAUACCAUAUGAAAAUUGCAAAAAGGUAUAUGAAAGUCACUAAUGUGACAUGAAAGAACAAAAGUCUUCAAAUUAUGUGAAAGUUGCUGUUACGAUAUGUUUCCC
This 852-nucleotide long non-coding RNA is filed under the name Parus major (Great Tit). RNAcentral describes it as "lncRNA (ENSPMJG00000011648.1)". Lineage: Eukaryota; Metazoa; Chordata; Aves; Passeriformes; Paridae. The record is from RNAcentral.